ACUCCUACGGGAGGCAGCAGUGGGGAAUAUUGGACAAUGGGCGCAAGCCUGAUCCAGCCAUGCCGCGUGAGUGAUGAAGGCCUUAGGGUUGUAAAGCUCUUUUAUCCGGGACGAUAAUGACGGUACCGGAGGAAUAAGCCCCGGCUAACUUCGUGCCAGCAGCCGCGGUAAUACGAAGGGGGCUAGCGUUGCUCGGAAUCACUGGGCGUAAAGGGCGCGUAGGCGGCGUUUUAAGUCGGGGUGAAAGCCUGUGGCUCAACCACAGAAUGGCCUUCGAUACUGGGGACGCUUGAGUAUGGUAGAGGUUGGUGGAACUGCGAGUGUAGAGGUGAAAUUCGUAGAUAUUCGCAAGAACACCGGUGGCGAAGGCGGCCAACUGGACCAUUACUGACGCUGAGGCGCGAAAGCGUGGGGAGCAAACAGGAUUAGAUACCCUGGUAGCGUC
Molecule: ribosomal RNA, 445 nt
Filed under: uncultured bacterium
Lineage: Bacteria
Description: bacterial SSU rRNA
Rfam family: Bacterial small subunit ribosomal RNA
Source: RNAcentral